Long non-coding RNA from Acanthopagrus latus (yellowfin seabream), 1571 nucleotides. RefSeq lists it as uncharacterized. Lineage: Eukaryota; Metazoa; Chordata; Actinopteri; Spariformes; Sparidae. The record is from RefSeq and is a predicted model, not a curated record. The transcript is spliced from 3 exons.
UCUGAGGGAACCAGGACAAACAGGACGACAACAUAAUCUGAGAUGGACAAUCAGAAGAGGACAAGCAAUGUUUGUAUUUCUCGCCAUGCAAUAUUUUAUUGAAGUCAAACCCAUUAUUAUUUUCGCUGUAUAUGUGUCUUUUGAAUUGCCAGACUGAGGGUAAAAGGACUUUUAUACGUUCCUCCCGAACGGAAAGAGGCUCUUAUGGUUGACAAGGCCAUUCAUCUGUGUGACGUACAGCACGGAGCUGUUGAAGACAAUGUGAAUGUCAUCAGCCUUUCUACAGUGCACCUAUUUAUUUACCUUCUAACGCAAAGAUCGCUAAUGCACGUAAAUCCAUCGCUUACAAACACCUUCUUCUGAUCUGUUUCACUUAAAGGGAUAGUUUGAAAUUGGACUUGAUGGAGAUGAAGCUUGGUUCAAUCUGAAGCAGAGGAGAAGCAGAGACCCUGAUCAGCAUGUGGGGCAGCACGAGCCUUCGUGCAGCCGUACGCUCCCCCUUUCCUCAACUCAAUAUAGGAUUGUUUUUCUCUGCAUGCCGGUGAAAGUUCUAUGACCGGAGAGAACACCUGGGAAAACCUCCAACAGGCACUAGACCUGACCUGCAGUGACACAGGUGUAGAGUCUUGUCAAGGCUGGAUCCGGCACACCAGAGGGUUUAUCCCCCGUCGCCUGGAAAAAGAGACCUUUGCCUGAGAAGAGAUGCUGAGGCAGAGUGAAUCCCUCGUCCGCAUCACUGUAUUACCUGCAGAAGUCUCACUACACAAUAUGCUCCGAGACGAAGACUUCGAGGACAGAUAAAAUUGUCUCAAGAAGUUAAACCAAGCACCGCCAUCUCGCCCUGGUGACGUCACUCGGAGUCAGCAGUGAUCAGCUGGUGGAGCUAAAUUAACACGGUCGAUCUUGAUCACUAACUUCCUUUUAAUAGGACCAAAUAACAGACUUAAACCCAAAUUAUCAGAAAAGGGACACUUGAACAUACAUCAGUGUGAUAAAAACUACCUCAAGUGACAGACACCAUCUUUGGGAAACAUUUAUUUUUAGCCCCAUGUCAGAUCCGCAAACAUGGACGGGGCAGGAUUUAUAACCCAGAUCCAGCCACAUCGGUUUGAUCAACAUCUUCCGGCUUCACUUCUGGGGACGCUGUCAUGUCAUCCAUCUUUAUACACAGCGAUCAGCCAAAACAUUAAAAAAGGACUGACAGGUGAAGUGAACAGAAUUGAUCAUCUUGUUACAAUGAGAUGUUCUCCUGGGGAAAAUCGUUGGUGCUGGCAUUCACGUGGAGGCCAUUUGAUAUGCAACGCCUUUUCCAAACACUGCUGAAGUCCAAGUGCCCCACACACCCACACACACACACACACACACACACACAUACACAGCAACAGCACUCCCAUAUAUUGACCCCUCCAGCAGGAUCUGACACCACAUUACUCAGGAAUGGUGUGAGGAUCGUGACAAACAGCAUUGACUGGGCCUCCAGUUUCCCCUGAUCCCAAUCAGAUCCACAGGAGUCACAGGGUCUCACGGCACCAGACACCACAGGACGCCCCUGAAGCUAACCCUGCAUACGA